GCAAGUCGAACGAUGAAGCUCCAGCUUGCUGGAGUGGAUUAGUGGCGAACGGGUGAGUAACACGUGAGUAACCUGCCCUUGACUCUGGGAUAAGCCUUGGAAACGAGGUCUAAUACCGGAUAGGAGCACUCAUCGCAUGGUGGGUGUUGGAAAGAAUUUCGGUCAUGGAUGGACUCGCGGCCUAUCAGCUUGUUGGUGAGGUAAUGGCUCACCAAGGCGACGACGGGUAGCCGGCCUGAGAGGGUGACCGGCCACACUGGGACUGAGACACGGCCCAGACUCCUACGGGAGGCAGCAGUGGGGAAUAUUGCACAAUGGGCGCAAGCCUGAUGCAGCGACGCCGCGUGAGGGAUGACGGCCUUCGGGUUGUAAACCUCUUUCAGUAGGGAAGAAGCGAAAGUGACGGUACCUGCAGAAGAAGCACCGGCUAACUACGUGCCAGCAGCCGCGGUAAUACGUAGGGUGCGAGCGUUAUCCGGAAUUAUUGGGCGUAAAGAGCUCGUAGGCGGUUUGUCGCGUCUGCCGUGAAAGUCCGGGGCUUAACUCCGGAUCUGCGGUGGGUACGGGCAGACUAGAGUGCAGUAGGGGAGACUGGAAUUCCUGGUGUAGCGGUGGAAUGCGCAGAUAUCAGGAGGAACACCGAUGGCGAAGGCAGGUCUCUGGGCUGUAACUGACGCUGAGGAGCGAAAGCAUGGGGAGCGAACAGGAUUAGAUACCCUGGUAGUCCAUGCCGUAAACGUUGGGCACUAGGUGUGGGGGCCAUUCCACGGUUUCCGCGCCGCAGCUAACGCAUUAAGUGCCCCGCCUGGGGAGU
RNAcentral lists this ribosomal RNA (814 nucleotides) under Micrococcus sp. MCCC 1A10541. RNAcentral's name for it is "bacterial SSU rRNA". It matches the Rfam family "Bacterial small subunit ribosomal RNA", at positions 57 to 881 of the family's 1533-position model. The record is from RNAcentral. Lineage: Bacteria; Bacillati; Actinomycetota; Actinomycetes; Micrococcales; Micrococcaceae.